RNAcentral lists this ribosomal RNA (253 nucleotides) under uncultured bacterium. RNAcentral's name for it is "partial 16S ribosomal RNA". It matches the Rfam family "Bacterial small subunit ribosomal RNA", at positions 524 to 776 of the family's 1533-position model. The record is from RNAcentral.
UACGUGGGGGGCAAGCGUUGUUCGGAAUUACUGGGCGUAAAGGGCCAGUAGGCGGCCAACUAAGUCGGAUGUGAAAUCCCCAGGCUUAACCUGGGAACUGCAUCCGAUACUGGAUGGCUUGAAUUCGGGAGAGGGAUGCAGAAUUCCAGGUGUAGCGGUGAAAUGCGUAGAUAUCUGGAGGAAUACCGGUGGCGAAGGCGGCAUCCUGGACCGACAUUGACGCUGAACGGCGAAAGCUAGGGGAGCAAACGGG